This 356-nucleotide unclassified non-coding RNA is filed under the name Hevea brasiliensis (rubber tree). The record is from RNAcentral. Lineage: Eukaryota; Viridiplantae; Streptophyta; Magnoliopsida; Malpighiales; Euphorbiaceae.
UCUACGCUUCCAGAAUAACUUGAUAUAAUGACCAAGAAUACAAAAUAGUAAUAGGCGCAACAAGAACUUUGACCAAUAGUUAAAUCAACAAACCAAUUAAGAAUAUAGACAUCUUAACUCAUUUGCUCAACUUGAGAUGCAGAUUGAGUAUUAUAUAAUGAAAUAUGUUUGAUGACAUUCGAGAAACAAAAUCAAUUACGAGAUAUCAACGAAACAAAAUUUUGAACAAUCGAUAACAAAUUAGCAAACAACCAACCUAGUGAUGAUUUUCGACAUCAACAGGAAAAUCAGAAAAUAAUGACAAAGAGAAUAGUUAACGGAGAGAGUAUUACCUUUCCUUGAGCAGCGAAAGUGGG